Long non-coding RNA from Oreochromis niloticus (Nile tilapia), 2309 nucleotides. RefSeq lists it as uncharacterized. The transcript has 2 exons. NCBI's taxonomy places the organism in Eukaryota, Metazoa, Chordata, Actinopteri, Cichliformes, Cichlidae. The record is from RefSeq and is a predicted model, not a curated record.
UUUUAAUGCUCUGUGCCAUUAACCACCAGGUUAAUGAUUAAACCUCAUCUCUUUUCCUUUUGCAACACUGUUGUAUUUUACUAUUAUUUUCUGUUUUUAGAUUUUAUAAUGUCUCUGGUGUAGGUGUCAUAGGGAUCACUUUCUGCCACAGAAGAGUCAAAAUGCCCCUUUUAGAUUGGUCAGAGUUCUGCCUUCGUGUGAUUGGUUAUACCGAUUGACAGCGUUAGGGUAAGUCAAUCCAGAUAAUGGAAAUAUAUCCUGCGUAUGCUGAACAAGCUUCGUAGUGUAGAACAGAGCAUGAAGUAGAUGCAACGCUUUGGCAGCAACUCUUUUUAGUCUUAAGAAGGCUGCAGAUAAUGGCUGCUUGCAAAACAGGGUCUCAGGAUCUUUGACCAGCCACCUAUGUGCUGAUAUGAAUUUCACCCAAAAUGUCUUUUUUGGAAGAGUCCAACAGUUCCUCAAGGAUACUAAAACCAAGAUCCUGGAGUGGCCCGCACACAGCCCAGACCUCAGACCUCAAUCCUAUUGAGAAUCUGUGGCGAGUGCUCAAAGUGAAUCUCCAUGCUCGGAAACCGUGCAGUUUGGACCAGCUGGAACAAUUUGCAAUGGAGGAAUGGGCCAAAAUCCCUCAGGAGACCUGUGCCAACCUGGUAAAGACCUACUCUAAGAGAUUGUCAGUUGUGCCUCAGAAAGGGUGCAGUAUUGACUAUUAAUGGCCAUCAUUUUAAAUGUAGCAGCAAGGCCAUGUGAUUUGGACACACCGGCACGACUCCAGGGGGUUAAAGUACAUGACCAAGUCUUCAAACAGCUGAGACCUGAGUAACUCCUGCACAAGCUCUUCCUGCCUCGUGGUUAUUGAUUGUUUCACAGCAGCUCAUCAAGCUCAUCUCCACCCUCCCUGAAACAGGCCAGAAAGAAGUGACAUAUGUUCUGAUGCAAAUGAAGCAGGAGGUGAAGUCCAGUAAUACUUUGGUUAGCCACCUGACGGAGCCAGGUGUGCUGCUCUUGAUUAGCAUAACCUUCUUUUCUUCCUUCUGAAUGAAAAUUAGAAUGACAAAAAUUUUCAACAUAUUCCUGUAGUAUGUGCCCACCACAUCUUUUCCAAUCACUUCUCAGUAUAUUGGAUUUUUUUGUAGUGAAAUCUGUCCCUGAAGCUUUCUAUUCACUCUGUAGUCCCUUUGUUUUCUCUCUGAGAUAAACCUAUUUAAAACUGUUGCCUCUUGUCAGAAAAAGUUAGCGUGCAAUGGCCAAUGCUUGCCAGCAGCACCAUCCACCUCCCCUGUUUGUUUCUCAGUGACAAACACUGACAGCGAGCGUCUUCUUGUUUUAUUAGUGGCGGUGCAGAGGGAAUGGAGCAUCUAUGUCAGAGCCCCUGCUCAGGUGUCAAUCAGACACAUAAAGCACACACCUGCCUGCACCCAACCUCUUCUGAAGCAGCCUAAAUGAGAAAGGCAGAAAAGGAACAAAUCGAGUGUUUUAUACCAGCUACUGUGGUGCACCGUUUGUAGAUUUUUGUGUAUAGCCAUAAAAACCUGUUGCCUCUCAUUUAGCAGAAGGUCUUGUGGGACAGAAAUGGGGGUGACGGGAAACGAGUAUAUCUUAUGAAAUGUGACAGCUGUCUACAGGCAGAGACCUUUUGCCACAGUGGCUGACGCAGGGUUUACUUUGGAUUCAGAGCUCUGAUUUGUAUCUAUUGUGAAACAUUUACCAUAAAAAGCCGUUUACCUCACAGAGUGAAGUGCCUCUUAAAGGGAAAACAUUUCACCCAUUAAAUGGAGUCUUAUUUGUUUUCACCAGUCUUCUUUUCUAGAUAGUCUGCAGGUAUACAGUCACAACAUUUUUAAUAAUAUAACAUACAAAGAGCAGAGUGAUUGCUCUUUGAUAAGUUCUGUGAAAUCUGAAAUUCUAUAAAAAAGGAGAUUUCUUAUUAUAAUAAUUUACAACGAACACAAAUGAGUGAAAAAAAGAGAAACUGUCUAAAUAUCAUGGCAAAUAAACAGAAACAAAAAAUGCCAGUAGAUGGUAAGACCAGGCGACCAACCCGUGCAUCACCUGGAAUGCAGAACUCUACAAGAUCAACAUGAGCGUUCAUCAGGAAUUCGGUGGGGAUGUGGAGAACAAUGCUAAAGGCCUACUUCAAGCUGAAGUGCACAAGUAACCAUCUAGUGCAAGAUUUACCAAAGCGAUGCUCUGUCCCCACUGGUGAGCUGCAUAGGCCUCGACUGGCUAUGAUUACUGACUACAGAAUAGAGCAAAUGUCAGCCUCAACCUGUAAAUGGAGGACAUCAAGCUGUAUGACAGGAGUGAAU